UGCCUACGGGAGGCAGCAGUGGGGAAUAUUGCACAAUGGGGGAAACCCUGAUGCAGCGACGCCGCGUGAGUGACGAAGUAUUUCGGUAUGUAAAGCUCUAUCAGCAGGGAAGAAAAUGACGGUACCUGACUAAGAAGCCCCGGCUAACUACGUGCCAGCAGCCGCGGUAAUACGUAGGGGGAAAGCGUUAUCCGGAUUUACUGGGUGUAAAGGGAGCGUAGACGGCAGAGCGAGUCUGAAGUGAAAGCACGCGGCCAAACUGCGGGACUGCUUUGGAAACUGCACGGCUAGAGUGCUGGAGAGGG
This 305-nucleotide ribosomal RNA is filed under the name uncultured bacterium. RNAcentral describes it as "bacterial SSU rRNA". It matches the Rfam family "Bacterial small subunit ribosomal RNA", at positions 335 to 658 of the family's 1533-position model. The record is from RNAcentral.